Molecule: long non-coding RNA, 267 nt
Filed under: Lathyrus oleraceus (garden pea)
Lineage: Eukaryota; Viridiplantae; Streptophyta; Magnoliopsida; Fabales; Fabaceae
Description: Pisum sativum (pea) long non-coding RNA (PSAT_LNC016970)
Source: RNAcentral
GAAAGAUAUAAAUCUUUCCACCCUCCUUGGAGUUAGUUAGGUAGACAUAUUUUAAUUAUAGUAUAAGUUAAUCACUAAGUUUGAGUUUACUCUUGGAAGUUAGCAACAUUUAAGUUUAGGGUUAGGGGUACUAGAGAAUUUGGUCUAAGAAAAGAAAAAGUCAGAAAAAUAAGAUGCCAAAACAUGGCAUUUUAAAAAAAAAUUGAUGAAAAAGAAAAGAAAAAAGACCACAAAUUUGAAAAAUCUCUAGUGUCCAAUGAAAGAAAG